AUCGUCUGUGGUAUAUAUAUCAUCAAACUUUAGAACCCUUAAUAGUUGUGAUUUGUGAAUCGAUGGAGUCAUCGACGCACAUAACAAGAAGCCAAGAAGGCUAGGGAACACUCAGCAAGCCCCACAAUGGAGAUUGGAGACAGCUUUUAUCCAUUUUUUGUCGGUAAAAUUAAUGUUGAGAUGUUUUUUGAACAAAAAUAAUAUUUGAGAUUUUCCCGUAAUAUAUAAAGAAAUACAGCUUUUUAGCAAAAUAGCUG
Molecule: long non-coding RNA, 257 nt
Filed under: Brassica rapa (field mustard)
Lineage: Eukaryota; Viridiplantae; Streptophyta; Magnoliopsida; Brassicales; Brassicaceae
Description: long non-coding RNA (BRAP_LNC000682)
Source: RNAcentral